Molecule: long non-coding RNA, 437 nt
Filed under: Malus domestica (apple)
Lineage: Eukaryota; Viridiplantae; Streptophyta; Magnoliopsida; Rosales; Rosaceae
Description: long non-coding RNA (MDOM_LNC009127)
Source: RNAcentral
UAAUAUUAAUGAAUAAUAAUCCAAUUUGAUAAUAAUUCAAUUUAAUGAAUAAUAAUCCAAUUUGAUAAAAAAAAUCCUAAUAUAAAACAUGGUGAUGAAUAAUAAUCCAAUUUGAUAAUAAUAAUCCAAUUUGAUAAUAAUCCAAUUUAAUGAAUAAUCCACCAAUUUGAAAAAAAAAUUAUCCUAAAUUAAAACAUGGUGAUGAAUCAUAAUCCAAUUUGAUAAUAAUCCAAUUUAAUGAAUAAUCCACCAAUUUGAUAAAAAAAUUAUCCUAAAUUAAAACAUGGUGAUGAAUAAUAAUCCAAUUUGAUAAUAAUCCAAUUUAAUGAAUAAUCCACCAAUUUGAUAAAAAAAUUAUCCUCAAUUAAAACAUGGUGAUGAAUAAUAAUCCAAUUUGAUAAUAAUCCAAUUUAAUGAAUAAUCCACCAAUUUGAUAA